RNAcentral lists this ribosomal RNA (251 nucleotides) under uncultured Brevibacterium sp. RNAcentral describes it as "partial 16S ribosomal RNA". It matches the Rfam family "Bacterial small subunit ribosomal RNA", at positions 87 to 339 of the family's 1533-position model. Lineage: Bacteria; Bacillati; Actinomycetota; Actinomycetes; Micrococcales; Brevibacteriaceae. The record is from RNAcentral.
GUGGAUGAGUGGCGAACGGGUGAGUAACACGUGAGUAACCUGCCCCUGACUUCGGGAUAAGCCCGGGAAACUGGGUCUAAUACCGGAUACGACUGCCGGACGCAUGUCUGGUGGUGGAAAGUUUUUUCGGUUGGGGAUGGGCUCGCGGCCUAUCAGUUUGUUGGUGAGGUAAUGGCUCACCAAGACGACGACGGGUAGCCGGCCUGAGAGGGCGACCGGCCACACUGGGACUGAGACACGGCCCAGACUCC